Centruroides sculpturatus (bark scorpion) is the source of this 1059-nucleotide long non-coding RNA. RefSeq lists it as uncharacterized. The record is from RefSeq and is a predicted model, not a curated record. The transcript has 3 exons. Lineage: Eukaryota; Metazoa; Arthropoda; Arachnida; Scorpiones; Buthidae.
CAGAAACAAUAAAGACGAUUCUUCCAUUGUAAGAUCGUUUAUUUCGGAAUUUAUAGUUUAGAAUGUCGUAGGAUUGCUAGUUAUUUAGCAACAGAUAUACCACAAAUUACACACUCCAUCUGUCCUAGUUUGGAGUGCAAUAAGCUGUCCUCGGCGCCAGGUAGGUAUUAAUCCAUCAAUCGGCACAAAUUUUAGACCCGGAAAGUGGUGGAUGGACAAGAUAGACGAUGACCUAAGAAACAAGACUGACGAAGUAGCAAUGGUGUUUACAGAGGAGUGGCGAAAAAAUAGAAAAACGUCGAGGUCGUUAAUCCACGACCCAACCCAGGCUUCACUAUAUUAUUAAGGACGAAGAAGUACGAAUUUCGUUAUUUGGACGAUUUCGUCAGUUUCAUUACAACACAUCCUUACAAACACUCCUCGCUUUAACAUUCACAAUUGAACCAUUAUCUAGUUUGUUCGUUGCAUCCAAUUGUUUACAUAUCACGCUUCGUUACCGUAAACGACACCGUCACAUAACACCCGAAAUCUUCCCGAAAUCAAACCCCUACAAGAUCCUCGUUUUGGAAAGUGGAAACGUCACUCGAUAUUUUCGAGUGAGCUCUGGUACACUGGAUGUACAGUACAUACACUAGAGUUGUCUUAAUCUUCUCUGUGGAACUUUGUCAACACAGAGGGUAAAGAACUGACGGAUGAUUCCUUUAAUCUAAUUUUAUGGUAAACAAGAAAGCCGCUCGUCUUAUUUAAAAAAAAAAAUGUUCUUCGUAAAUAAAAUAGUUGUGAACUUUAUUCCAACAAUGCUAAAUAUAAAUAAAUUAUAACUCCACAAUGAAGCAAUUAAACUUUGAGAUAUAAUUUAUAUAUUUGAGAGAUUUUUAUAAUUAUUUUAUUAAUUAUUAUAUUAUAUAACUAGCAGGUAAGUCCGUCAUUGCCUGGGCAAGAAAUAAGAACAAACAUUAAGAUUAUUAGAUUAUUCCGCACUUGUAAUCCUUCUAUUAUAUCAUAUUUUAGUACUUGAUUUAUAUAACUAGAAAGGAUAUCUUACAUAAGGGUGACCAA